This is a non-coding RNA of Drosophila melanogaster (fruit fly), 1429 nucleotides long. The record is from Ensembl. Lineage: Eukaryota; Metazoa; Arthropoda; Insecta; Diptera; Drosophilidae.
AGUGUUGUAUCUGUGUAAUACCCAUUUGAAUUAGAUAUUAAUGUAGCAAUCAAAGAAAACAUCGUAGAACAAGUGUAAUAGUAAUAGUGCAAUAAGCUAACAUAAGCCCACAUCCACACUAACUUCUUCCCAUUUUAUCCAUUUUAAUUUUUUAUUUCUAGAGAAAUUUUGUUUUGAUCUUGUUCUGAAAAGACACGCAUAUAAGACAUUAUCAUAUAAUAUGUUGUGAUUGCGUAAAACCACAGCUUUCUCUUGCAAUUUAAAUUUUUGCCUUAAUGACAUUGAAACGGAAUCAAAGUAACAACAGAACAGCUAAUUCCCCGAAAUUAACACACCCACAACAAAGGAAAGCUUAAAAAAUAUUUAUAUACAAGGAAUGGUAAAGAAAGAACGAAAAUAGUUUAGAAAUAGACAACACAAUUAUCACGAUAAGGAAAAGAAAUCUAGCAAAAAGCAGUAACACAAAACUGAAUGUUAUAUUUUGGAGCAUUUUUUUCAAUGUGUAUGUCUUAGCAUAUAUAUUACACAUAUAUAUAUAUUAUAAAUAGGAAAGUAAAAGUGGAUUGAUAAAAGUAUUAGCAAAAGAUAUUUCGUGAACAAUAACGAAGGGCAGAUGGAGACGGAAAGAGUAGGCUGUCUCUUUCUACUCCCCUAAAUAUUUGCAAGUUUUUUACGUCGAGCAUGAAUAUAAAAACUGUAUAUCAUCUAACUAUAUAUUUGUAUACACGAACUAAAGUGCGCAGGUUAUGUAUCGUGAAAUUUUCCAUAUUUUUUUGUAAAUAAUUAAAAAACAACAAGCCUUACGUUUUUCUGUCAUCACGGGGGACUUAUAGUUUUUUUUUUUUUAAGAAAGAUUUUUUCCACCAAAGGGACAGCAAAUCAAAAAUUAUUUUCACACAAGAAUGUUUUCUAUAAAAGAAGAGAAGCAAAUAAAUAAUCUUAAAAAAUCGAAAUCUAUUAUCUAGAAAUAUAUAUAUGUGUGUGGAUCGUAUGUGUAAAUGUGUUUGAAUGUAAAAUGCUUUAGUCACAUAAGUUGAAAGAGAAAAUUGAAUUAACUAUAUAGAAUUACAUGCCUGUGUGUGUCACUCGAUUUCUGUUAGUAGUAAUAAUCAUAAAAGAAAAUGUAAAAAAAUAAUAAUACAAACCCAAAAUUUUGAACUUUAAAACUAGCUUUUAUGUUAUCUAAUUUAUGUUUUUUUUUUUCGUUGUAUUAAUUAAAAACCACUGAAAAUGCGUUUUCUGAUUUUUUUAAAAUUAUCCUUUGUAAGUAGGCAAGUAACAAAUGCUUAAACAUAAUAUUAUUUUGUGUAAUUUUUUACUAAACAAAAAAUCAAGCAUGGAAACAGCAAACAACAAAACGAUUUCAUUUUAGAUAUUUAAGCAUAACUUAACUAAUUAUUAAUGAUUAAAUAAAUUUUUUCUUUAAGUU